ACAGAAGACGAAGAGCUGGAAUAGAGCUCGCCUCGGCUCUGCUGGCCUUGGCUGCAGCUCUUCCAGAAACCCGGGGCGCCCACAGAAGAAUCUCUUACCUGGCUCUCUCUUCAGGGAUGACAUCAUCGGCUCACACCAGUCUUCCAGGACCACCUUCUGGAUGCCAAGGCUGCUGCUCGAGUACCUGCUGUGCACCUCUACCUCCUGAGCCAAGGAGCACGGAUUCCAGGAACCCACUACCAUACAGAGCAACUCCUUGUGGACCCCCCUGGGAUCAGGACAGCGAGGGACAAGCGACAAAGAGGAUCAUCAGUGGCCAGCUAGUUUCUCUGGGGUUCAAACCUUGAACCAGUGCCCUAGUGAGGGGGCACUGGCCAUGGCCCUUGACCUUUGCUCUGCUUGUGUCUUGAGUCUGAGCCCUUUCCUGUACAUCUGUGCUCGUGUUCAUCUGCUAGUGAACUGGAGUGCUGCCCUCCCCGAGGAGGGUCGUCCCUUGUGACUGAUCAUGCUGUCCUAACAAUGUCCUGAGCAAAAGGGUCCCUUUGGGAACCUCUCAGGAGGGGGACCCGGGUCAGGGGCGACCAGCAUCUUGCUGGCAACUCCGUGGGUGGGGUGGGGUGGGGUGCUUCCUUCUGGAAUGAGCACGUGGCUGACCCCCCAAGGCAUGUCCCCUCCCCCUCCUCCACCCACCUUCUCGGAGAUGUCCCUUUUGGGGUAGUGGGGACAUUAGGAGCAACCUCCUAGGGUUGUUGUGAGAAUUAAAUGAACUGCAGCAGCCUGAGGCAGGGCUGGGCAGAGACCUCAGCACAUGUUUGUUGAAAGGUUUGCAGGUGGAUCUAGUCCUCCCGUUCAUGGCUCAUGUGUCUCAACCAUUCUCUCGCAGACUCCUGCAGCCCCUAUGCCCAGGGCUCUCCUUGCGCCAGAGGUAGGUGGGAAAGAGAACUGGGAGAGCCCGGACUCACUCAUGAGAUUGAACUUAAAUUCACACGGAGGACACUUGGACUCUUGCCACAUUAGCCCCGGCUUCUCGAGGCCUGUCUACACUCGCUGCUUUCCUUCCUCACCUCCAAUUUCCCCUCCAACCCACUGCUUCCUGACUCGCUCUUCUCCAUCGAACGGCUCUCGCUCAGCUGGCAUUGCCCACCGGCCAUGCCGGCUGAAGAAAAGAAGACUGAGGACCCCAGGAUGCCCAGCGCGAGGACCCCAGGAAGCCCAGCGCGAGGACUCCACCCACGACGCCCAGCGCGAGGACUUCACGCACAACACGUUGCAACCCUCCUGGAUUAGGCCAAAGCCAUCAUCUGGAAUCCUGCGUGGGACCCUGGACACACGGACACAGACACCUGCCCCCAGGACCCUCCAACUGUAAAUCCCUCUACAGCCACGGGGACGCCUUGCACAUUUCCUGUGGGACAUGCUGGACCCAAGACUCUGGACCCUGGCCUCCCCUUGAGUAGAGAGACCCACCUACUGACUGAUGAACUGCGCUGACCCUGGGGUCAGGCAUGUGGCCUUGAUCCCUACCCAUGGACCCUGAGACUUGGGGGGGUGGGAGAAAGGCUGUUGUGUCUUCACUGUUGAGUCUACAUCUGUGAAAUGGGCUCAGGUUCCUACCUCACAGGGCUGUUGUGAGGCAGCCGCAAUGUGCUUAGAAGCAUGGGGCCUAGUGGCUCAUGGUGCUUUCAAUAAAUUUCUUGUUUUAACUAAAGCA
Molecule: long non-coding RNA, 1711 nt
Filed under: Mus musculus (house mouse)
Lineage: Eukaryota; Metazoa; Chordata; Mammalia; Rodentia; Muridae
Description: maternally expressed 3
Rfam family: Maternally expressed 3 conserved region 2 (bases 520-621)
Source: RNAcentral